CUAAUUGUCAGUCAUCUUUGAUAGUGGCCCUGACGGUGUGUGUAUUCUCUCUCUAUCUAUAUAUUUAUAUAUUCUCUGUAUAUUUCUAUAUUUAUUUUUACCAAUCCAAAGCCCAAAGUAUUAAACUUUGCUCCAUAAAUCUAUAUGCCGCUGUUUUGCUUUUUUGUGUGUGUGAAUGACACUUUAAAGACCUCAAGCUUGUUUGAGGUUUGAUGUGCUAUUACUGUAUUUCUCAUCAGUGAUCAGACUUUUGCAAGGCAUUCAUUUUACUAAUGCAAAAAAAUUUUUUUUAACAUUAUACUUGCAUUUAAAUAUGGGGAUGCAGGUCACAUCUAGAGAUCUGAAUAUCUCAGAUACUUGAGGGUGGACUCUUUGGGUGGACUCUUGGGUCAGUAAACAACCACCGGGAACACCCUAGCAACCACACAUCACUGCAAUCAAAACACUACUCACAACCACAUAGCAACGCCCUAACUACCUCCCACAACACACGCGCAUCUUGCCUGUGAGUCGUGCUCAUCCAAACACCACCCACGAUUUCUUCAGAAAAUCUAAAAACCUUCUUGUUUCAUGUAAUAGUCACUAAUCUAUCUCUCAGAAACCAAAGAGUGCAGUUUGAAACUGCCUGUAGCAUUUGACUCAUCUGAAGGUCAAAAUCACAGCCUCAUUUAUUCACAGUCACAUGAUCUUAUGAAAAAACCACAACUGCAUUUUUUGAAAAAUCUGUUUGCGUCAUGGACUGAGAGUCUGUGUGUCUUGCUUUCUAUUAAACCAAUAUACAGUACACUGAUAAAAUGGCACUGGUUUUCAUUCAAAAAUAUUAUUUAACAUCACUGAACCAGCGUACAUUAAUUUUAAUGAUUAAUUCCAGGUUACAGUGUACAUUUACUUUGCAAGCAAAAUGACUUAUAUAAGAUAUUAAGCCUUGUUUUCUGAAAAAUGUAUCAUUAUUAAACGUUUAAAUAAUGUUCUGGCAAGGUUCUCUGAAAGUUUUAGUUAACAGAAUGUUUAUUCAAAGUUAUCUGGUUUUUAAUAUUCUCAUAGCCCAUGGAAUAUUUUUCUGAAACAUUUUUUCACAUGUUACUUCGUACUACUUUCAAAUAGUUCAGAGAACAUUCAAAAGGAACAUUCUCAUAAUGCUGGCAAAACGGAACAUUCCCCUUCAUUUUAAAAAUUUAAAUAUUUUGAAUGUUCCGAGAACAUAUACUGGAGAAAUAACAUUUUCCUUCCCAAGUGAAUGUAUCUUGAUGUAAGAAUGUUUAGCUGUUUGUAAUGGAAAACAAGUCAAAAAUACGCCACUGUACUUGAGAUCCAGCUGAACUGAAGAUCUGCUCUAGUUGGAGAUCACUGAACUGAUUCUGCAUUCUUGUCAUGGGUUGGUUUCUGUCGGUUUACUUUAAUGCAAUCUCUCUCUCCCACACACUCUCUCUGAUGUCUGUCAGGGGUCAGUAUGUGUCUCCUCUGAGCUCUGGCCCCUCACUGCCCUCCCAUGCAGUGCUGUGGGAACUUGACCAGUCAUCUGCGCAGUUAUGAGAGGCAUGUGGUGGAGAGGAAGCAGUGGUUUGUGAGUCAGCGCCUCAUGAAUCGUUCCGUUCCGUUGGCCUUUGGCUCUCUUUAGCUCUUUGAGUCAUCUAGAUCCCUGUGGUCCUGUGAGAUGGGUGUGUGUGUGGGGGGGAGGAAAACUUGCGUUCCUCUGUUUCUGGUCCAUUCCGUUGUAUUGUUCAGUGCUGUGAGUGCUGUCAAGAGAAGCAGUGAAUGGUAAGUCAAUAUCUAAUCAAUACUUACAGAAUGGCAUCAGGCUGGAUGGCCUUGUGACAAGCAGCUGCGAAGGAAUGUUUCUAAUUGAGAUGUGUUUACCUUCUAUUUGGUCUUCUCUUCUGAUUUGCUGAGUUUAAAAAACAGAGUGAUAUCGCAUCAUAGUUGUGUAACCGAAAUCAAGAUAUUUCACUGUGAUAGUAGCACAGGGUUGGCACUUUACCAAACCUUAAACACAUUUGCAAAGCGUUUGUUGUAAAAUGUGCCUCAAGGUCUGUGGCGCAUUGACAUAUUACGUCAGUACAUCAGUAAUGCUUUGAUAUUGGCCCUGUGCGUCAGUUCGCUAAUUUAAGCCGAUGAAUCUGUUUGUGCUAUGAUUGUGGUGAUUCAUUACCAAGACUACAGUCUGUAUGGUGCAGACGUACUGGAAGCUUUUCAUAUUGUUCAACUCAGAUGGCAGACAGCCAUCAGACCUUCUGUUUAUUUGUCUUGAAUAAUGCAAAGUUUUGUUUCAUGUUCUUGGUGCGCAGAUCCUGUAAAUGGACUGUGUAUUUGAAGCUAUAAACAAUAGAUCUUCUAGUAUGUCAUUUAUUUACUGCUGUACGUCUAUGCAGUAUGUUGGGCAGCAAAUUUAACCCUUUGGUGCAUUUUUUCUUACUUUAAAUAUAGAAUAUAUUCAUUUCUCUUUUUUUUUCUCAAAAUUAUGCAUUUUGUGAGUGUUACUGUACAGUACAAUUAAAGAUACUAAUGGAAAUUUUAGCUAACUAAAACCUUAAAAAUAUUUUUGUUGCUUGAAAUAAAAUAAAAUAUAUAUAAAAAAACAAAAAAUAAAAUAAAACUAUAUAGACACAUUAAAAAAAUUUUUUUUAUAAAAAACAAAAACACAAAAAUAUUGAAACUUUAACUAAUUAAAGUGAAAUAAGAAAAUAUUAAAAUUAAUUUUAAUUUUAAUUCAAAAUAUUAACAAAAAUUAUAAUAGUAUAUCAGUGUUACUAAACACCAGAUGUAUAGCAUCACCUUAGCCAUGUAUGUUGUCAUGAUAAAAGUGGUGAUGUACAUCUGGAAUACACACACACACAUACACACACACACACACACACACACAUACACAUUCAUAUAAAACAACAAAUAAAGAGGAAAAAACUUACAGAAUUAGAAAGUAAUCUAUGAACUUUCUACAUUAAUGUGUCAACCAAUGUAAAUGUAUAAUCUUACUAGAUUAACUAGAGUCCUGCUGUUGCACAUUAUAUAAUUUUUUUCAUGAAUUUGUUGUCUCUCUGAUAGAAAAGGAAGUCUAUGUGACCUUCUUCAUUUCACAUGGACCCUUUGGAUUUUUUCCCAGCAUAGUGUGGGAAAACCAGUUCCCUCCUCCGGUCUAUCUUUAGCUGCUUCGCUGUAGGCAGGGCUGUGUUGUCCAUUCAGAGAAAGACUGGCUAACUCCCAAUUCACAUCCUAGCACUCCUAAAUAGCUCACAAGAGUUAAAUUAGUGCAUUUAUAAUCACAGUAAGUACAAACUAGAAAUGCAAAGCCAAAUUGAACAGAUAUGACCCUAAACAUAAAGUAAUAAGACGUUUUAAGAUAAAUACUUGUUAAUAUGCGUGCUACAAGCUACCAUGCAAAUAAAAACAGUACUCGGCAAGAUACUGAAGGAGAGCUUUGUGUUUUGUGUUUGUGUUUUUCACAAAACCGGCAAGUAAGGCAAAAACAAAGUGAAUAAAUAUGCCUAAACAUAAAUUUAAAAUACAUUUUUAGAUACAUAUAAUGUGCUACAUGCAAAUGCUAAGAUAUAAACACAAGUAGUACUCAACAAGUUACGGAAAAGAGCAGUGUGUGAGUAAGCAAUAAGUUACUACGACACAAAUAAGUCAGGCAUGACACAAAGCGUCACUGCAACCCCUUCAGCCAUGAUUUAUUCACAAUACAGCACGCCUUGAGUACCUUAUUGCUUUUAUACAACAGUUUCCACACAAUAAAAAAUAUUAAAAUCAAAAAUGAAUGUACUGAUAUGUUACUUUUUUGAAGCCAGUUCGUUAAAUGCUGUCCUUUUGCUAAAAAAGGAGCGUGGUCUCAAAAUUAAAGAUGAACGAUGCAACAUAACGCCAGCAGGGGUCACUCAUACUCCAUUAAAUAAAUAACAAACAGUUAAUUUUUGCCAAAAUACAUAAUAUAUGGAGCAAUUAUGAUUAUGUUGCUAAGGGUGGUUGCUAAGGGUGUUGCGCGGUGAUACCCAGAACCAUUGGGUGAAGCGGUCAUAGCUGUGCCUUAUCAUGAAUAAAACACAGCAGCUGACCAAUCAGAAUCGAGAACUGGAGAAGACAAAAUGAACAUAUAACCAUAUAAUAAAGCAUAUAAACAAAUAAUACUAUGCUGCAUGCUAAUGCUAACAUUGCAAACUUAAUGGUGGAGCAUGAUGAUAAAAUUGGCAAGGAAUGCAAAGCCAAGGUGAACAAAUAUGAACCAACCCACAAAUAUGAACAAGUAUAAACAGAAAUUAAAAUAAAUAUUGUGCUAAAUGCUAAUACUAACAUACAAAAACAAACAGUAGCCUACUCGACAAGUUACAGAAGCAGUUUGUGAUGCUUUUCAUAAAACUGGCCAGGAAUGCAAAGCAAAAGUAAACAAAUGUGAACCUAAAUGUAAAGUAGUAAUAUGAUUUAACAUAAAUAAUGCACAACAUACUAAUGCUAACAUGCAAACACAAGCUGAAAAGUUACUGAAGAAGAGCUGGUUUUGUGUUGGUUUUGGUAAAACUGGCAAGGAAUGCAAAGCCAAAGUGAACAAAUAUGAACCUAAACGUAAAGUAAAAAUAUAUUUUAAGAUAAAAUAAUGCAGUGCAUGCUAAUGCUAACAUGCAAACAAAAAGGACUGGACAAGUAUGGUAUGAAGAUGCAUAUUUUACACACACAUUCCAAUACUGGCAUAUUAUUUUACAACAUAUUCAAAUCGAUUCAUUGUAAUAUGCUAGAUGUUGUUUCAGCUAAAAAAUUUAGGUUUAAGUUUGUUCACAGAGCAAAUUAAGAAAAUGAACCAAGAGAAAGUCCAAAACGCACCAAACCUUAGCUGAGCUUCUGGCUUUGAUGCCAAAGCACGUUUUGCAGAAGUGUGAGAGGUCUUGUUUUGAUAUUGCCAUGCAGAACAGACUAAAAUAAGCCCUUCAUAGAGGCAUGUACCCCACACUAGUAUACCAUUUACAGUAAGUGGAGAGCGUCAGAACUGAUAGCGUAAACCACUGGCUCCAGGGAGCAUGAUGCAUUAUGCACUGCGUGGGGUGCAUGGGCGGCUAUGACAGAGAUGAGUCAGCAAUCUUACCAAGCAGAAAACAGAAAAAAAAAUUGAUUAGUCUUUAACGUUAAUCUUGAUCUAGAGCGUAACAUUCUCAUAGACAGACGAUUCUCGGAGAGCUUUCAACUGAAGCAAGAAAAUUGAAUCGCAGGUCACGGCGAGGAGAGACUGUCGUCCGGCAGAAUGGCGUCAGACGUGGGCCGCAGGACUUGAGGUCAGCCGUUCACUCAGCGCACAGUGUUUAUUCUGCCUUCAGGUCCUCCUGGGAAGUUCCUACUUAAGAUUUCGGAAGUCAUAAUUAUGAUGUGAAGUGAAUUUGCUUGAAAUAAUACGGAUGAGUUGAGCAUAUUUAUGUGUGUCUUUAACCCAGCUAAAAAGGGAACGUUCACAGAACUGUUAAUACAAUGUUCAUUAAGAGUUAUCUGGUCUUUUAUAAAUUUCCCAAAAUUUUAGCACAAAAUAUUAUUAUAAAUCUUUCAUGGAAUGUUUAUAAUUUCUGAAAAAUCAAAUGUUUUCUUUUUAAAUGUUUAUUGGUUUUGGAAUGUUCAGAGAAUGUUUUGAUCAUGUUUGCAAAAUUAUCAAAUUAUAAAACACAUUAAAAAGCACAUUUUGAAAGCGUUGGAUGUUUUGAAUGUUCACACAGUGUUAUAACUUAAUGGGAACAUUAUCAAAACAUUCUUUGAACUUUUUUGUUUGCUGGGAACUUGAAAAGCAUUUUUAGUUCUAGUGCAACAAAAUUAAGAGCAAAUGAUGCACAUUAGUUGUGAUUUAAGCUUUAUGUAUUUUAUUAACCUUGUGUAACAGGUCAUAACGAUUGAUUUUUUUUUCUUUUUUCUUUAUCACAAAAUGUUUACAAGUUUUAAGAUUUACAUUAAAUCAACCUU
Cyprinus carpio carpio is the source of this 5922-nucleotide long non-coding RNA. Lineage: Eukaryota; Metazoa; Chordata; Actinopteri; Cypriniformes; Cyprinidae. The record is from Ensembl.